Molecule: ribosomal RNA, 229 nt
Filed under: uncultured bacterium
Lineage: Bacteria
Description: partial 16S ribosomal RNA
Rfam family: Bacterial small subunit ribosomal RNA
Source: RNAcentral
UCCGUAGGUGGAUAAUUAAGUCAGAGGUGAAAGUCUGCAGCUCAACUGUAGAAUUGCCUUUGAUACUGGUUAUCUUGAGUCAUUAUGAAGUGGUUAGAAUAUGUAGUGUAGCGGUGAAAUGCAUAGAUAUUACAUAGAAUACCAAUUGCGAAGGCAGAUCACUAAUAAUGUACUGACACUGAGGGACGAAAGCGUGGGGAGCAAACAGGAUUAGAUACCCUGGUAGUCC